Molecule: long non-coding RNA, 5561 nt
Organism: Hippopotamus amphibius kiboko
Lineage: Eukaryota; Metazoa; Chordata; Mammalia; Artiodactyla; Hippopotamidae
Exons: 4
Source: RefSeq, a predicted model, not a curated record
CGGGCGGCGCCGCCAGCAUCGCAGGCAGGCGGGCGGGCGGGCGGGCGGACGCGCCGCUCUGUUUGGGAAACGAGCAUCGUAGCCCCAGACGACGGAAGUGUACCUCUCUCAAGUGACUGAACUCUCGAGACUCAAAUUUCGUCAUCCACAAAAUGAGGUUAAUGAUCCUUACAUUUUAGAGCUGUUUGAAGAUGAAAAGAAAGAUGUGUGUAAAUUACCUACGUGCCUAGCACUGGCCUGGCUGCUGGGAUCAAGAAGCUAGGAGGCAGUGAAAAGUGUUAUCAGGCUUGCAUAAGACCAACCCCUCCCUAAAGAUGUUCUGGAGAUCAAGCCAAAUAAGGACUACAUAAAAUCAAUGAAAGUAAUGCUGGAGAUGGCAAAGCCUUCGACAAACAAGAUUUAGCCAGGUCAGAGUACCUAAAAACUGAAGGAAAAAAUCAACAAGGAUGGUAACAAGGAUAUAGCAGAAAUGAUGGUGUGUGUCUUCCAAGGCCAGGUGUUAAAAGACAUUGUGGCUUUUGCUUUGCUGCUUCUUGGAUCACUCAGUUUGGGGAAAGCUGACUGCGAUGCUGUGAGGACACACAGGCAGCUUUAUGGAGAGCUCUACGUGGCAAAGGACUGAGGCCACCUGCCAACAACCAGCAUCAGCCUGGCGGCAGGUAAAUGAGUCAUGCCACUCCUCCAGGCCCAGUCAAGCUUUCAGAUGACCGUAGCCCCUGAUACCAUCUUGAUAACAACUUCACAAGAGACCCUGAGGCAGGGUCACCCAGCUAAGCCACUCUCAGAUGCCUGAUUCAUAGAAACUUAAUGAGUUAAAUAUUUAUUAUUUUGGGCCACCUUUUGAGGGUAAUUUGUUAACACAAGAUAAUACAUCUGCUUUAGAGAUAGAGUUUUAGGAGUCAUUCCGCAGCAAUCUAAAGAGGUAAUAAUACAGCAUUGAGAUUAAAAGCAUGGGUUCUAGAACCAGACUGUCUGGGCGUAAAUCAUGUCUCUGCCAUUCAACCUCUGGGCCUCUAUUUUUCUUAUUUGCAAAGCAAGAAAAUAAAAAUUGUACCUAUCUCAUUCUAAAAAAAGGAUUAAGUGAGUUAAUGCAUAUAAAUUAAUUAGAAUAGUGCCUAGGACAUAGUUCACAUUCUUAGCCAUUAUCAUUAGAUGAUGCCGCUUUGUAUUAUCAUUUAAGUAUCAAUAGUACUGUAGUUACAGGCAAGCAACAGAAUUGAAAGUUCUCUGGAAGAACAUGGAGUAGUAAAAAGAAGCUGGCUGUAUACAUCAAAGCUGUAGCGCUUCGGUCGCUCCAAGUUUAGUUACUUCUAAUUUCAAGGUCUAAUGGACUUCCAGGAUUUUUCAGGUGUUUCCACACCACCAUUUUCCCUGCAACCCAAACCAGAACUCUGAACUUAUCCUAAACCCUUUCCUAUACCUGGUCCCUCAUGUCCAAUCCCUCAGUCCACUUACAUUGAUUAAGGCUCCAGUCAGUGCCAGUCACUGUUUCUAGAGGCCAGAACAGAGGCCAGAACAGUGAAUAAGACAAAGUCUCUGCCCUAACACAACUCACAUUCUGUCUCAUUCUAGUGAGGGACACAGCCAAUCUGCAAACAAGAAUAGAUUAUACCGUCAGAUAACAGUAAGUGCUGUACAGAAAAGUGAGGAAGGGUAAGGAGAUGGAGAGGGGGAACGGCUUUAGGAAACCUAACCAUGUCUGUUAACUUUAUGUCCUAAGUCUCUACACCACAUCCUUUCCUUCCCGCUGCCAGAAUCAAGACCCUUCAGUAUCCCUGUCUGGAUUGUUCCACCUGUCUCACCACCUUAACUUUUCAUGAAUCACUAGAUCUCUGUCUGAUCACAAUAUAUCCUGGCUCAAAGUACCUCAGUGGUUCCCUCUCCAGACAGAGAAUAAAACUAAGCACUUACAAACUCUCAGCUGAUAACCUUUCUUCCUGUUUCACUGAACAAACUGAAGCGACCAGAAGAGAGUUUUCAUUCUCCAGUUGCACACAUGCCUGAGUUCGUGUCCAUAUGCUCUGCCUGUCCCUGCAUUUUUAUGCAUGAACUGUCCUCAUUCCAGUCUAAAGCCAUUAUUUCCACUUAUGCACUAGACCCCAUCCUCUCAACCACUCAAGGGCAUUGCUCUAUCAAUCUUCCCCUUUCUUUUCUACAUCAUCAACUUCCCCCUCUUUACUGGACCAUUCUCAUUAUAAGCAUAUUAUUUCCGGCACUAUAAAAAACCCUGGUGACUCACUUCUCCCCUGGUUACAACCCCACUUCUCUUUAAAGAAGAACUACUUAAAGAGUUGUCCAUGUUCAUUGUCACUAAGUCCGCUCUUUCCAUUCUUUCUUGAAUCCAUUCCAAUCAUGCUUUUGACCUCGAAACUGCUUUUGUGAAGGUUACCAGUGACCUCUGCGGUGCUAAAUCUAGAGAACAGUUCCCAGUCCUCAUGUUCAUUGAUUUAUAAGCGUAGUUUGACACAAGUAAUCAGACUCAACUCCUUGAAAGACUUUCUCUACUUGUUUCCAGACAUUGCAUAGUUUCCCAUUUUCCUACUACCUCACUGGCUUCUUUUUCUCAAUUUCCUUGUUUUUAUCCCAAAGAAGAUUGAGGGUCUGAUGUACACGCAAUCAUUUGUUGAUAACAUUCAGUCUCAUGGCCUUAAAACCCACCUGCCAGGAUAUGCUUGUAUCUGCUAACUUCCUAUCCCCAGCCCAGAACUCGCUCUUGAACUUGUACAUCUAGCUGCUUUCCCAAGCUCCAUCCUCCCUCCUUUAUGUAAUAGUAGAUGACAGUGCCAUCCUUCCAGAUCUCAAACCAAAAACCUUGGAGUCAGUUUCUCUCUUUCACACCAAGCCCUCACAGUCUCCAAGCCCUUGCUCAAAUGUCAUCCUUUCUUUGAGUUCUUUCCAAGCUACUGUAUUUUAAAUUGCAACCUCCUUCUCUGAUUUAUUCUCCAUAGCACUCCUCACAGUCUGACAUGGAGCAUUCACUAAUUUGUGCCAUUUUCCUAGGAAUGAGAUACUGCUUUGUUUGUUUGUUUGUUUUUGGUUUUAUUAGAUAAAGUUGUUUAUUUAUUUAUUUAUUGGCUGCAUUGGGUCUUCGUUGCUGCAUGCCGAGACCAGCUCGGCGACUCGAGGUGAGUGACGGGUGCCGCAAGCUUGAAGAAAACACAGACACAGACUGAAGAGAAAGAUGGGACCGGGGGACUCAAGACCUCUAGGAUCAAGAGCCUUGCUGAUUCAUCCCAUGUUGCUUUUAUUUGUUUCUUGGCUAACACUUCCCAGGUUAAUCCCAUAAACAAUCAAAGGCUUCACAUGACUGGGGCAAUGAUCUUUGCCUCCUGGGCCCGAUUUGAGCAGGUGUGGAUCUGAGCUGGGCAUGGAGAGCAAAACAGCCCUGGGGGCAGGAGACCUCUCUCAGAUAUUAGGGGUCUGUGCCCCACCCCUGUUGGCCCCUCUGCGACUGUGCCUGUCUUAGGUUGUUCCUCCCCUGAGGAAUCUUACCUGUCUUUGGCUAACCAGUCAUCCUCCAGGGCCAAACAGGGUGAUAUGAGGAAGGGUAGGUGUGCAAGUGAGAAAGGGGCUGCGCCCCCAGAGAGGGCCAAUCCUCUGCCUAUGCCCCCAUAGUCUCCAUGCCCCGCAUCCUCAGCUCCUCCACUGCUCAAGCAGGACAUUCUGAAUCCCAUCGCUCGGCCCACAUACUUUAACAUUUUCAAGGUUUCAGAAAGACUCCUGAAUGUCUUCCCACAGCUGCACAUGGGCUUUCUCUAGUUGUGGCAAGUGGGGGCUACUCUUUGUUGUGGUGCAUGGGCUCCUCAUUGUGGCGGCUUCUCCUGUUGUGAAGCAUGGGCUCUAGGCACGUGGGCUUCAGUGGUUGUUGCACAAGGGCUCAAUAGUUGUGGCUCACGGGCUCUAGAAUGCAGGCUCAGUAGUUAUGGAGCACGGGCUUAGUUGCUCCACGGCAUGUGGAAUCUUCCUGGAGCAGGGAUUGAACCCGUGUCCCCUGCACUGGCAGGCGAUUCUUAACUACUGCGCCACCUAAGAAGUCCCGAGAUACUGUUUUUGACUUAGAAUCUUGGCUGGGAGUGAAGAGAGGGCAGUUUUAGGGGCUUCUGCUAGGCUUUCCCCACUAAGAUAAUUCUUACCUCCCAGGCCAAGGACCCAAUAUGGGUUUUGCCAAGUGUGUCUAUUCCAGUAAUACAUUUGGGGACUAGGGAAGUGGGCAUGGGGGUGGGUCUGCAGAGCCAGUGGACCCACUGUGAGUUGAACUCCCUUCUUAUUUCAUCCCCAUAUGCCUCCCUCUGCAAGGGGGUCCAUUCUAUUGCUUCAGGUCUCUGAGUAUCAGUUUCAAAUCAGACCCACUGUCCAACGGUUCUUAAAAUAUGUGUUUAUUGCCUUUCCCUGGUGUGCAGCUACUGGUUUCUUGGGCUGGGGCAAUCGCUUCAUGUUCCCUAGUAUGUUAGGGCACUUCCUCCCAUGGAUCUGCACUCAUUUUUAGUUAGUAGUUUCCAAGUUGGAAAACUGGUUUAGGUUCAGAAACUUAGCAAAUUGUGACAUUUAAAAAAUAUAUUUUAUGUAUGUAUGUAUGUGUGUGUUGGCUGCAUUGGGUCUUUGUUGCUGCGCAAGGGCUUUCUCUAGUUGUGGCGAGCAGGGGCUAUUCUUCGUUGUGAUGCAUGGGCUUCUCAUUGCGGUGGCUUCUCUUUCUGUGGGGCAUGGGCUCUAGGCACACAGGCUCAGUAGUUGUGGCACACGGGCUUAGUUGCUCUGUGGCAUGUGGGAUCUUGCUGGACCAGGGAUCGAAACCGUAUCCCCUGCAUUGGCAGGCGGAUUCUCAACCACUGCGCCACCAGGGAAAUCCUGUGACUUUUUAUUGAGCUAACUAUUUUCAUCCUCCUGUUUAUCCAUCCUUGAUUUCUUUUUCUCCUUUUUAAAUAACUUUACUGAGAUAUAAUCCACAUAGCAUACAACUCACCUGUUUAAAAUGUACAGCUUAAUGGUUUUUAGUGUAUUUACAGAUAUGUGCAACUGUCUCCGCAAUUUUGGAGCAUUUCCCUCACCUCAAAAGGAAACCCUGUGCCCUUUAAGGGAUCACUGCCUUAUCUCCCCCCACCUGCCCCAGUCCUGAGCAAUCACUAAUCUACUUUCUAUAUCUAUAUAUUUGCCUAUUCUGGACACUUCAUGUAAACUAAAUCAUACAAUACGUGUGGCCUACUGUGUCUGGCUUCUCUUGAAGAAGAAAAUUAGAAACUUGCACUCAGGUAAAAAUAACUCCAUGCUCAUUCUGCUUUUGUAAAAUAUGCUUGCUGUGCCAAAAAGGAAAAACAAAAACAGGAUGACCUAGCCAUCAAAUGUAACCAUAGGAUGUUUUGCUAAAUAUGGAAUGUUCUGCACCUGCUCUUGUAAGUUUCUGUUUGGAAACUUCCGUGCUCUGUAAACCAAGUAACCAAUCUACCCAUGCUAACUGUAAACAUGUGCACAGACCCCUAUAAAAGUAAAGCUCACCCUGAGCUUGGGGCCCAGAACUUUGGAGUGUUAGCUGGUCUGGGGCCGCCAGCUUAAUAAACCUGAGUUCU